GCCUGGCAAAAGCUGACCCAACCUGACAACCCGACCGAACCCAACCUGAAAAGAACGGGUUUGGGUUGAGAUUUUCAACCCGAUUAAUUAAAUGGGUCGACCUGAAUCCGACCUGAAAGAUAAAUGGGUUAGGUUAAGGUUGAAAAUUCCAACCUGAAAACGACCCGCCUAACCUGAUUAUAAAAAACGGAAUUAUACUGAUGUUUUUUGUUUUGCAAUAGAAGAUGCUAGAAGCCUAGAACUCACGCAAAUCAUAUAUGGGCAUAUCUAACCGGCCCAAAUCCUUCUCAGUUUCUCUUUCCCACACAUAAACUAAUCUAACCUAACCCUUUCAUUUCUUCUCACGCAGUCACAACAAAUUCUCACUCUAUCUACUCUCUCAGUCUCUCUCCUCUUGGUUUCUUCUCAUCUCACUCUCAGUGACGCUGCUCUUCAAGACUUCAACAAUGACUUGCUGCUCUUCUAAUCUCCAUUUCUGUGUUUCAACUUUCAAGAAGUAAUUUAGUUAGUAUGGUUGAUGAAGACUUGAAGGAGUUAAUUGUGCUUUCUUCAGAGGUAGAAGAGGAGAUCGAGAUCGACUCUACCUAUAAGAGAACGAUUGCUUGUAAAAAGAUUUUUUUUUGUAGCUAAAUGUAACAUAUUUAUACAGUAAACUACUUCUAUCUCUAAAAUACUUUGAAGUAUGAACUAUGAACUUGGUUAACUUUGUGUUUGUGGUUCUUGAUUUAGUGAACCAGAUCAGGUUCUAAUGUUCUAUUUUUAA
This is a long non-coding RNA of Beta vulgaris subsp. vulgaris (sugar beet), 763 nucleotides long. RefSeq lists it as uncharacterized. NCBI's taxonomy places the organism in Eukaryota, Viridiplantae, Streptophyta, Magnoliopsida, Caryophyllales, Amaranthaceae. The record is from RefSeq and is a predicted model, not a curated record. The transcript is spliced from 2 exons.